GUAAUUAAAUGGUUGAAACGCUUGAUAUAUAUGAGUUUGUUCCUGUUUAGGUCGACACUGGGAAGUAAAUUACAGUUUCCUAAACUGUAGGUCGGAGGUUCGAAUCCUCUUCGGG
RNAcentral lists this transfer RNA (115 nucleotides) under Neobacillus niacini. Its description in RNAcentral is "tRNA-Arg". The record is from RNAcentral. Lineage: Bacteria; Bacillati; Bacillota; Bacilli; Caryophanales; Bacillaceae.